This 491-nucleotide ribosomal RNA is filed under the name uncultured bacterium. Its description in RNAcentral is "partial 16S ribosomal RNA". It matches the Rfam family "Bacterial small subunit ribosomal RNA", at positions 29 to 507 of the family's 1533-position model. The record is from RNAcentral.
AGUGAACGCUGGCGGUAGGCCUAACACAUGCAAGUCGAACGGCAGCACAGUAAGAGCUUGCUCUUACGGGUGGCGAGUGGCGGACGGGUGAGGAAUACAUCGGAAUCUACUUUUUCGUGGGGGAUAACGUAGGGAAACUUACGCUAAUACCGCAUACGACCUACGGGUGAAAGCAGGGGAUCUUCGGACCUUGCGCGAUUGAAUGAGCCGAUGUCGGAUUAGCUAGUUGGCGGGGUAAAGGCCCACCAAGGCGACGAUCCGUAGCUGGUCUGAGAGGAUGAUCAGCCACAGGGGAAAGAGGACCAGCGCCAAACUCCGGAGGGAGGCAAGAGUGGGGAAUAUGGGAGAGGGGGCGGAAGCCUAUACCAGACAAACGGGGGGGGUGAAAAGGGCCUUCGGUUUGUAAGGCCCUUUUUUUGGGAAAAAAAAGAACCAGGUUAAAACCCCGGUUUUUUGACGGACCCCAAAAAAAAAGCCCCGCUAAAUUUGGG